CACCACUUCCAUAAUACUUACUUCUAAAGCCAGCACCUGAAUUACUGACUAUCCAUUCAUUCCCCACAACUCUAGGAGAGGUAAAGGGAGAUGUGCAUUUCUGUUGGUAUUCCUGAUGUGACUUUAAGAACAUGGCAGGAUGCACUAGUAAAAUUCAGAUGGAAACAUAAAAGACAAAGGGUUGUGACAGUGUCCAAACAAGAUGCUUUCCAAACACAGGGGAAGACAACAACCACUCCCCUGGCAUGUUGACCCCUCAGCCUGUUGAGUCACCAAAAACAAUGCAUUAAUCCAAGUUCUCAUUUGGGACCAAAUGCUAUCUCAGAUGAACACCCCUUCUCCUUGCCUGUACCUGAGAGAGGUUGUAGCAGCUUGGCCAUGGCUGAAAAAGGUCCAAGGGUGAUGCUGUUCCACUCCACUCACCUUGCCAUAUGCAGCAUGGGCUCCAGGAUGUUAUAACCAGUCAUAGCGCAGCACUCAUAGAAGACAGCUUUGUAUUCCUGCCGGAAGGGAGAGUGAGAAGAUAACUUCUGCCGCUCUCAACCCCCCACCCCACCUAGUCUCUCUCACACACACACACACAAGAUCCUUUCCCAUCUCCAGCACUUACAAAGGAUUAUCCUCUAUCUCCCCAUACACAAUGUAACGCGAUCCCGCACCGGAACCCUCUGGGGUUUCACAGAAUGCUGCAUACAUGCCACCAGUAAUACUGGCAUCACAGAGUGUCAUCCCAUGAGUGGUAUAGGCACAUUCUUUUUUCAGCAGCUGGAGGCCCUGGUGUCAAGAGGGUGUCAAAGCUCUAGCAGCCAAGGGGAGCACUGGGUUGGAUCUUUUAGCAGCUGGAAGGCCAGGGGGAAAUGCCCCCUCACUGGCCUGUUUGUGCUGCCGUGCAGUGGAACAUAGGAGAGUCAAGAUCCUGGUCGGGUGCAAUUUGGAGCACACCUCAUGCUCCACUACACAAUUCAAUGCAGCAAGGCCCAGUGCAGGAGUCUUUGCGGCUAAGGGGAGGCAGGGACCACUAGGCAUUGAAAUGAAGAAAAUAAAUUCCCAUUUCAUAAUCAACCAGGGCAUUCCUGGCAAAACUAGAGUAUGCCAAGAGCGUGGAGCCUGGACUGGCAGACUUGCUAGAUCACUGGUUAAAUGGUCAUUAUUUCAAAGGAAUGCUGUGGCUGCACCCUCACCCUGAGGGAUCAAAGUCACUUUAAGGAUGCACCAAGCCCAAGCACAAAGAGACCUGAAGUCCUUCCAGAGCCAGGGUCCAUCACAAGCUGGCCACUUUAUAUUAUCAUUAAGGCUAAGAUUUUGUCACGGAUAUUUUAGUAAAAGUCACAGGACAGAUCACGGGCAAUAAAAAAAUUCACAGAAGCCCGUGACCUGUCCCUGAAUUUUACUAAAAAUAUCCAUGACAAAAUGGGGAGCCCUGUUGCAGGGUCCCCAUACCACCUGCAGAGGUUGGGUAGCUGCGGGGGCUGCUCUCGGGGCCCCCACCGCCUGUGCAACUUCUGAGCUCCAGGAUCCCCUGGUUUGGAGUUCUGGGGUACCCCGUCACCCAUGGCAGCCAGGAGCUUUGAAGGACCCCCGCUGCCUGUGGCAACCAGGAGCUGCAGCCCUGCCUCCCAUGGUGGCUGGGAAUUUCGGGGAGCCCACAGCACCCUGUGGCAGGAGGACCCCGCAGCUCCUGGCCAACAGGGCUGAAUUCACAGAGGUAGCUGGAAGUCACAGAUUCCGUGACUUCCAUGACCUCAGUGAAAAAAUAGUCAUCUUAAUUAUCAUUUAAGGACUUCACCCUGCACCACUGAAGUCAAGGGGAGCUUGGCUGUUGAUUCCAGUGGGGGCAGGACCAUACUCUGCAAUAGCUGUUAGCAUGCAAGAGUUCCCUCCCAUUUCCUAAAUAUGGCUGUGAGCAUGCAAACCAGACCAGAAUGAAAUCUACAAAACUUUUGGACUGGGGAGUAGCAUACAGAGCCAUACCUUCGCCAGCCUUUCUCCCUCCAUCUUGGGCAUGUGCUGGGUCUUUCUCUCUGCUGCAUCCAUUUUGUUUCAGAGCAGAAAGAUCAUGGCUCCAUCCUCAAUCCCUUCCUGCAGGACAGACAGAGCAAGGCUCCUGUGAGAACCGUUUGGAAGACAGGAGUAUCUCGGGGCUGGAUCCUGAUCCCGCUAACAUGAAUAAGAGCCUUG
This is a long non-coding RNA of Dermochelys coriacea (leatherback sea turtle), 2178 nucleotides long. RefSeq lists it as uncharacterized. NCBI's taxonomy places the organism in Eukaryota, Metazoa, Chordata, Testudines, Dermochelyidae. The transcript has 3 exons. The record is from RefSeq and is a predicted model, not a curated record.